Molecule: ribosomal RNA, 492 nt
Filed under: uncultured bacterium
Lineage: Bacteria
Description: partial 16S ribosomal RNA
Rfam family: Bacterial small subunit ribosomal RNA
Source: RNAcentral
AGUGAACGCUGGCGGUAGGCCUAACACAUGCAAGUCGAACGGCAGCACAGUAAGAGCUUGCUCUUACGGGUGGCGAGUGGCAGACGGGUGAGGAAUACAUCGGAAUCUACUUUUUCGUGGGGGAUAACGUAGGGAAACUUACGCUAAUACCGCAUACGACCUACGGGUGAAAGCAGGGGAUCUUCGGACCUUGCGCGAUUGAAUGAGCCGAUGUCGGAUUAGCCAGUUGGCGGGGUAAAGGCCCACCAAGGCGACGAUCCGUAGCUGGUCUGAGAGGAUGAUCAGCCACACUGGAACUGAGACACGGUCCAGACUCCUACGGGAGGCAGCAGUGGGGAAUAUUGGACAAUGGGCGCAAGCCUGAUCCAGCCAUACCGCGUGGGUGAAGAAGGCCUUCGGGUUGUAAAGCCCUUUUGUUGGGAAAGAAAGGCAGCAGGUUAAUACCCCGCUGUUCUGACGGUACCCAAAGAAUAAGCACCGGCUAACUUCGUG